Long non-coding RNA from Ananas comosus (pineapple), 516 nucleotides. RefSeq lists it as uncharacterized. The record is from RefSeq and is a predicted model, not a curated record. NCBI's taxonomy places the organism in Eukaryota, Viridiplantae, Streptophyta, Magnoliopsida, Poales, Bromeliaceae. The transcript is spliced from 4 exons.
GCUCAGAGCAAGCUUCCCCUUUUCCCUCUCUCUCUAGGGUUUUUCUCUCUCUACAUCGAAUUCGUCGUUUCGCACCGUUUCCGCGCCGCGCUCGUUGCUUGCUGAUUGGAAGACUUGAGGAAAGUGUUUGAAACAUGGGGAGAGGAAAUUUUGCUGAGUUUUCUGUGAGGUUACUACCUGAGAAGCUGGUUGAAAGCUUUAGAGAGGUCUUUGAGCCUCUUUGAGUUGAACCUGUACUCUUGAAAGCUGGUUUGGAGGAUAUUCUAACCAAGGCGAGAUUGCAAUCGAGUCUUGGAUCGUCUUCGACUGACUUGUGAGAACUCUUGGAGGUUACAUUUGAGCAGAGUUGAGACCUUGUGGAGUUGAUUUUGGAACUUCCUUUGGACUGAUUGGAGCCUAGUAAUAGGUGGGUUUGACCUAACCAGAGCAAGUGGAGCUCCUCUAUGUUCUAUAUGUACCAUAGAGUUGGUAUAAUUGUGUACUUUGUGGUUGAUACAUAAUUGAGUUAAAAUCUCU